AAUGGUGGUUACAUGGCAAUACUUGAAAAAAAAAAGUUACUUCCAGUUCACAGGAAGAAGUGGAAAGAGGCCAGAAGAAUAGUCUGUUGUUGAAAUUGAUUUGCUGUCAACUUAUUUGGUACACAGAAUUUGCAAGAUGGUGAACUGGUGGUUAAAUUGUGGAGCAUGUAUUUGAAGAGUUGUAGAAAUAUUCGAUGACAUGUCAAGGGAGGACUGAAAAGAAAGAUCAUCUUAAUGUUUUUAAGUCUUACUCAGUAUGACAAGAAUACUUGACAAUUGGUUUGCGGAAUAGCCUCUGCCUCUGAUCUUCCAUUUGUCUGCUAUAUCCAGUUCUCUUGGAAGGUGUUCAAGGAGGUGAGGCGAUAGGAAGACAUUUGAAUAGGAUUAACUUGAAAUAACCCAAAACAGGUGAAUAAUUUCUUGCUAUGCGGUGAUAUGGACUCAUUUUCUCAUUCUCCUAUGACCCCAAAGAUCUUGUGAAAGGACAAAGUGACAUUAAUGAUGGUAGGGAGGAACAUCAACAGAGACGCAGGAGGGAUACUGAAUAAUCAGGUUGAUAGGUGCUAAAUCCAUGAGAGAACAAGUGAACAGGAACCUUUGCAUGGAUGCCAUCUUCUAUGGAGAGCCGCAGAUCAGGUGGUAAUACUUGGCUAUUGUGGGACUUGCGUACUUGAUCUCCAUGUUCUCAGCUUCCAUGAUUGAUGAUCCAAACUGAUGAGCCAGUCAAUCCGGUCAGAAAGUGGUGGUAAUUUUUUCAUUUGGGUAAAAGUGAAUGGGAAAAGAAAAACCAUAAAGGUUCUUUACAUGGCCCAUAGAGGAAGGCUCUCAUGUGUUGUGGUCUGCCCCUUAGUGACCGAAUGGUUCACAUAGGUGUGGUGCUUCUGCUCAUAAUUCAUGAUACCAUGGUCUGAAAGUCAUAAUGUAAUGUGCUUGAUAAUGCAAGUGCUAGCUAGUGUAGCUGCCAAGGGUCAGAGCUGGUUGGUUAUAUGGGCGAUUUUUCUGUUUCUCAAUAAAAAAAUAGAAGGAAGAACAUUUAAUUGGACAAUUCUAAACCACAAAAUCGAUCAGAGUCUCUAAUAGAGAGUAAUAUAAGGCCCACAACAAGUAUAAUUGCAUCCCAGUGUCAAGGCAAGGUAUGCAUGCCUCUUCAGGCUCAAUCGCCCCUCAUAACUCUUCUCUUCUAUCCAGUUAGACCAAGGGGACCACUCUGCCUUCCUGGCCUAGCUCGUUUUCUGUUCUGCUUGUUCACACACAGUUGUUAAUUGAUCGUAUCGAGUUUUACCCUC
Long non-coding RNA from Macadamia integrifolia, 1286 nucleotides. RefSeq lists it as uncharacterized. The transcript is spliced from 2 exons. NCBI's taxonomy places the organism in Eukaryota, Viridiplantae, Streptophyta, Magnoliopsida, Proteales, Proteaceae. The record is from RefSeq and is a predicted model, not a curated record.